RNAcentral lists this long non-coding RNA (883 nucleotides) under Homo sapiens (human). Its description in RNAcentral is "HSALNT0382393". Lineage: Eukaryota; Metazoa; Chordata; Mammalia; Primates; Hominidae. The record is from RNAcentral.
AUGUCUUAAUUCGGUCCUCAGUUAAACUGGCGGUGGGCGCUGCUUUUUUUCCAGGGAAGGAUUCUGGAAGACAUAGGAGGAGACGCCAGCAUUUCGCCCUCCAGCACCUCCUGCGGGCUGUGGUCCGCUUCCGGCCUCACUCGAGCAGACCCCGCCCUCCCAGAGGCCGUUUGUCCAAGUCACGUGAUCGUCGAAUCUGUUGACCUGGCGCCACCGGAAAAAGAAAUUCCCGGGCCCUGGCUUCUUGGCCUGAUGGCACUGCUAGCCUUGAAGCCUCCAGCCUGCUGGAUGCCUCCAUCCCCGGCUAUGCUGUGGCUCUCCUCAUUCUAGGCCUCCUGCUCGUCACAUUCACCCUUGUCCUGGUGCUAAAGUGGAGGGCCUCCCAUGGGGUGUUCAGCCUGGGUGUGUAGAAGCACACAGUGUGGUACAGAGGACCCUCUCCAGACAGCUGCCUCCCACCAACCCUAGAAAUGAUGCUGGGAGCUGACAGAAACUGAACUUAGGAGCACAGGAGGCCAGGAGACCUGGGACAGAGAACAGGAGGUGACCCCUCAUGCUGCUGCUCCCUCUGCUGAAACCCAAACUGCAAACCUCUCCUCUCCCUGCCUUCACCUUGCCCCACGGCUUCCACAGACAGUGCCUCAACCCCGAGGAAUGAAUCCGAAGUUCCAACACCACUGACUUUCCCAGGAACUCAGAGCCAGAGAGGGCCAAGGACCAGCUCGAGGACACACAGCCAGGGCUUCUUCCCUCCGAAACCCCCAAGGACUGGACUUGCAGGGCUGGGACAGAGGUGGGGUGGGGGAAAGCAAUGCCUUGUCAACCCACGUGGGGAGCCCCACUCCCAUCCCCAAGGUGCAUAAAGUUGAGGAACACCCCUGCU